UUAACGUUCCACAUUUUAUUGCUUCCUUUCGUCGAUAACUAGGCGACAUUAAUAUGUACUGGGUAUACUUCUGAACCGAAUCAAGUUAUUUGCCCAACACAAUCAUAAAAUUUAUUUAAACAAUUAAUGUGUGGUUUUGUUGAUUCAGUACAAACUUAAAGAGAUUAUAUCAAAGGACAUUAUAUCUUGGUGAAAAAUGACCCAUCAAGGAAUUUAUAAUUACUUUUCCAAAAUUAAUUCCAUAUCAGAAAAAAUUUCUGAUGAUAUAAACAGUGUGAAAUCCACUUAUAGUAAAGAUGACUGGAUUAAUUUAAGUUGGGUUGAACAAGAAAAAAUAUUGAACAAACAUUUAAUAAAUCGAGAAAUUUAUAUUAAAUAUUUUAAAACUGAACUGUGUUCACCCUUACAAACUAUUCCUAAGAAGAUACCAAAAAAAAAUCAUAUUUUCUGGAAAAAUAAUGAUUCUACAUAUUAUUAUAACGGACAAGAUUUACGAACAUAUGUUAAGCAGAAUGUUGGCCUUAAAGAACUACAUGAUGAAAUUAUUGAAAAUUGUCGUGAUGAACAUUCUUUUCCAUUUAGCUAUAGAACUGAGUCGCAGAUAAACAUGCCAGCCAUAAUUUGUGGUGCCGGCAUCUUUACUGAACCGUCCAAAAGCAGUUCAGUAACAAUUAAAAUUAAUGAUAGCCGAAAUAAAAUAAACGAUGCAUAUAAUCUUCAAAAAGAAAAUUUUAAAAUGGAAAACUGUAAUGGAUCUCUUCAUUCAUUAUCUAAAUCACAUCAUUUUACAUUUCCUUCCCAACGUUUAAGUAUAGAUGACUGGUCUGAUGAUGAAAGCGUGUUGAAAAAUACCUGUCAAGAUGAAAAUGUUAAGCUUUUAACUAGGGAAGUGAAAAUACCACAGGGGUUUGAUUUUCUUAGUAACUGGUAGAAGCAUAACUUACAAUAACUAAAUAUUGUAUUAAUUAAAUAGUUUUAAAAAAUAUUAAACAAAAAUGGAAACUAAUUCGUGAAACCUUAAGUUCCUAUAUCCUUAAAAUAUCGUUUUAGUUUACUUAAUUUCUUGUAAUCCCAAAUGAAUUUUGAAUAUACAUGCAUACAUCAAA
This 1106-nucleotide small RNA is filed under the name Drosophila ananassae. RNAcentral's name for it is "GF27804". Lineage: Eukaryota; Metazoa; Arthropoda; Insecta; Diptera; Drosophilidae. The record is from RNAcentral.